RNAcentral lists this ribosomal RNA (253 nucleotides) under uncultured bacterium. RNAcentral describes it as "partial 16S ribosomal RNA". It matches the Rfam family "Bacterial small subunit ribosomal RNA", at positions 524 to 776 of the family's 1533-position model. The record is from RNAcentral.
UACGUAGGGUGCGAGCGUUGUCCGGAUUUAUUGGGCGUAAAGAGCUCGUAGGCGGUCUGUCGCGUCGGCUGUGAAAACUCGGGGCUCAACCCCGAGCCUGCAGUUGAUACGGGCAGGCUAGAGUUCGGUAGGGGAGACUGGAAUUCCUGGUGUAGCGGUGAAAUGCGUAGAUAUUGGGAAGAACACCGGUGGCGAAGGCGGCGAGCUGGUCCAUUACUGACGCUGAGGCGCGACAGCGUGGGGAGCAAACAGG